GAUGAACGCUGGCGGCGUGCUUAACACAUGCAAGUCGAACGAUGAAGCCCAGCUUGCUGGGUGGAUUAGUGGCGAACGGGUGAGUAACACGUGAGUAACCUGCCCUUGACUCUGGGAUAAGCCCGGGAAACUGGGUCUAAUACCGGAUAGGAGCGCCUGUCGCAUGACGGGUGCUGGAAAGAUUUUUCGGUCAUGGAUGGACUCGCGGCCUAUCAGCUUGUUGGUGAGGUAAUGGCUCACCAAGGCGACGACGGGUAGCCGGCCUGAGAGGGUGACCGGCCACACUGGGACUGAGACACGGCCCAGACUCCUACGGGAGGCAGCAGUGGGGAAUAUUGCACAAUGGGCGGAAGCCUGAUGCAGCGACGCCGCGUGAGGGAUGACGGCCUUCGGGUUGUAAACCUCUUUCAGCAGGGAAGAAGCGAAAGGACGUACCUCAGAGA
This 443-nucleotide ribosomal RNA is filed under the name Micrococcus luteus. RNAcentral's name for it is "bacterial SSU rRNA". It matches the Rfam family "Bacterial small subunit ribosomal RNA", at positions 28 to 472 of the family's 1533-position model. The record is from RNAcentral. Lineage: Bacteria; Bacillati; Actinomycetota; Actinomycetes; Micrococcales; Micrococcaceae.